AAGGCCGAGUUCCUCGAUCUGACAUACUACUAGUUUUCCUUUUCUAACAGCUUUGACGUAACCAAAAAUGGUGACCGCCUUCUCGCUCCGCGCCCCAUUAUUCCCUCUCUACGCCUUCAAUUUCAUCUAGGGUUUCUUUGUCACUUGUCUAUUCUACUCUGACGCUUUCUCCUAAUAUAAGCGCUGCCGCGUAUGUCGAUUGCAUUUGUUUCCGUGUAUUCUUUGAAACCUUGUUUUUGAGGGAAAAAAACUGAACGAGAUGAAGACAUCGCUGAAGAAAUUGCAAAAAUUUGCUUCGCAUAGGCACGAUAGAAGAGCGCAAAAGCAGCACCAAUCCGUGUCUCUAGAUGAGCACGCUCGAGCUACUCAGGACAUGAUUGAUAUGAGAGACUGCUAUGAUAGGCUACUGUCAGCUGCAGCCGCAACUGCAAACAGUGUAUAUGAAUUUUCAGAAUCAUUAAGGGAGAUGGGUGAUUGUCUUCUUGAAAAAACAGCCCUGAAUGACGACGAAGAAAGUGGGAAGGUAUUAUUAAUGCUAGGGAAAAAACAGUUUGAACUUCAGAAACUUAUUGAUGGUUAUAGAACACAUAUAUUUCAGACAAUCACAAUCCCAUCAGAGUCUCUUCUAAAUGAACUUCGGAUUGUAGAGGAGAUGAAGAGGCGAUGUGAUGAAAAAAGAGAACUAUAUGAUGAUUUGCUGAACAAACAAAAAGAAAAAGCGAGGUUAAGGAACAGUAAAAGCGAACAUUUUCAUUCUCCUCAGCUUCAAGAAGCCCAUGAUGAAUAUGACGAAGAGGCAAAUGUUUUUGUCUUUCGCAUGAAAUCCCUAAAACAAGGGCAAUCCCGUAGUUUUCUAACACAGGCAUCUAGGCAUCAUGCUGCACAGUUGUACUUCUUCAAGAGGGCAGCAAGAUCUUUGGAGGCAAUUGAGCCACAUGUCAGGUUGCUUGCUGAACAGCUACAUAUUGAUUACCAUUUUAGCGGACUCCAAGAUGAUGGACGUGAAAUUCUUGAUGAUGAUGAUGAUGAUGAUGACGACGAUGAUGAAAGUGAUGGGGAUGAUGAUACCGAAGAUGGUUCUGAAAUGCAUGAUGCAGAAUUGAGUUUUGACUAUGGACAAAAUGGUCAACAGCAAGAAGUUCCUGCAUCAGAAAACUCAAUGGAGUUGGAUAAUGCUGAUGUGAAGUUCUCUCCUGACCUUAAAUUGGGCCCUGCAAAGGAGAUCUUACAAGCUCCUCGCCAAAAUCCUCUCUCUCUCUCCGCACCUCUCUUUCAGAGAGGGGCCGGAGCGGUCAGCAAAUCCGCACCUCUCUUUCCUCAAAGAAAACUUGAUUCAGCUGAGCGAACAGCACAGAUGGGACCUUCACCAUCACGUAAGUUCUCUUCUUAUGUACUACCCACUCCAGAUGAGACAAAAACUCCAAGAUCUGGGAAAUUAUUUAGUGAAGCUCCUCAAACAAGACUAGCAGACUCCAACCUUCGCCAUUCAUCUCCCAUCAAUCAGAACAAGUAUGAAAGACUUGGGGAAAAAGAUAAAUUGUCUGGUCCCAUCAUCUUAGACACACAAUCAGUACUCAAAGAGAGCAACACCACCAUAAAAGCUAGUGUCUUGCCCUCUCCAUUAUCAGAAGGCCUUUCAUUUACUCGACUUGAUCCAAAUUUAGCGUCCAAUGCUAAGAAAGCUAAAAGACAAGCGUUCUCUGGCCCAUUAACUGGAAAGCCAUGGUCAAAUAACCCAAAGUUAACAGCCAGUGGUCCCAUUGUCUCAUCAGCCUUCCCUCCCUCAUUUUCUGGAUCCUUAUUGCGCACCCCGAUGCCUCGGCCAACAUCAAACCCAAAAUUGUCUUCACAUGUUUCAACCAAUUUUGUGUCCUCGCCUAAGAUAAGUGAACUUCAUGAGCUUCCUCGACCACCAGCUCAUAUGGCUGCUACAAGGCACCCAAAUCGCUUUGCUCAUUCGGGCCCCUUAAUAUCGAAAAGAAAUGAGAUGUCUGCUACUCGUGUAUCAACAUCGUCUAUAGCAGCAUCCAGACUCCCAACCCCGCCCCAGGGAUUAUCACGCAGCUACUCAAUUCCAGUUGGAGGUUCGAUGGAAGCAGCAUUGCGCAUUCCUCUAAGAGGUUCUCAAUUGAAGAUGAAAGAAGAUAGUUCUUCACCUCCCCCAGCCUUGCCAAAUACCCAACCAUCAUCUAGGUGAUUAGCCAGCAAGUCACGUAAAAGGUAAUUGUAAAUUUAUCAGCCCAGCUACAUAUGCAUCUUAAUAUUGAUUGUCAAAUAAGGUAAACUUCUAAUUAGGUUACAGCAAAUUAGCAACAGCUGUUUAGGGCAGAGCAUAGGAUGCAAAUGGUUUCACUCAGCAAACUCUAACCAAGUAUUCAAAUUCAUAUCCAUUUUUUAAUGCUUGUAGUCAGCAAUUAACAUAUCUAUUAUAUAUAUGUUGGUGUUUUGACAGGAAAAUGUAUUUACGUGUUUGAAUCUCUAAUACUAAUAUAGAAACUAGCUUGGAAAUAAUAAUGGUGUUCUCAUAUCUGUCUUUGACUAAGUGUGGAUGUCUGAAAGAAAUAUAAGGAGGAUUCACAAGAAUAAAUAGCUGCAUAAUGAAAAAUGUCUACAAGCAGAGAGGAGAUUGAUGUAAUUAUCAUGCUAUAAUUAAGUAUAAAUGUGCCUAUAGCUUUAAUUAUGAGCUGGUGAAUAGAAGCAUUGAAUUGGGAUGCUGACUGCUGAGAGCCUUCAGUUUAAUGAGCCACAGCUUCGCUUUUUACUUUUUAGUUGGUAAAUUUUUGCAUGAGUCAUCUGAUUUGGUUAGUGUGUGAAUUGGGUGGAUGUCCAGUACUUGUAUAUUGGAAAUUUGAUCAGGUUCUGCCAUUUGCUAUCAUAUCUCAUAUUAGACCCAUAGACACAUGCCAAGUGUAUUAAACUAUAGCUUGAAUACAAACUUGACUUGUAUGGUUAAGUGGAAUAUGAUAUAAAUAUUCCAAUUGCUACAUAAUCCACUAGUGGUUCCCUUUUGCUUAAUAUAGUUCAAAUAUAUCCUCUGGUAGACCUGGGCACUCUUAUGUUCACUAUUUUCCAUUGGGAAUCAUGGUCCCAUUUUUCAUAUCAAGCAUAUGAUGGACUGCAGAGAAUUAUAUAUUUUCAAGACUCAAGUAUGAAUCAGAUUUGCAGGUGAUUUGAAGACGGGGAUAUAGCUGCAGUGUUCAUCCGUCGCACAGACCAUGUGAAUAGCUUACUAGUUAGUCCUUGAAAUUUUGUUAGUCAUGUAAAAAGUACCACUAAUUUUGUUGAAAUUUUGCUUGGUUGUCGAACAAAACUCGUAAUUUCGUAACAUAAUGGAUGAGCAGUAACAGAUCUUGAAAUGAAUAAA
Salvia miltiorrhiza (redroot sage) is the source of this 3364-nucleotide RNA transcript. RefSeq lists it as uncharacterized. Lineage: Eukaryota; Viridiplantae; Streptophyta; Magnoliopsida; Lamiales; Lamiaceae. The transcript has 11 exons. The record is from RefSeq and is a predicted model, not a curated record.